RNAcentral lists this non-coding RNA (99 nucleotides) under Actinopolyspora erythraea. RNAcentral's name for it is "TPP sequence". It matches the Rfam family "TPP riboswitch aptamer (THI element)". From Rfam's summary of the family: Vitamin B(1) in its active form thiamin pyrophosphate (TPP) is an essential coenzyme that is synthesised by coupling of pyrimidine and thiazole moieties in bacteria. The previously detected thiamin-regulatory element, thi box was extended, resulting in a new, highly conserved RNA secondary structure, the THI element, which is widely distributed in eubacteria and also occurs in some archaea. The record is from RNAcentral. Lineage: Bacteria; Bacillati; Actinomycetota; Actinomycetes; Actinopolysporales; Actinopolysporaceae.
GUCAGUGACGCGGGGUGCCCGGCUCGUGAGCCGGGCUGAGAAAGACCCGUAGAACCUGAACUAGUUCGCACUAGCGGAGGGACGUCGCGGUGUCGUGGG